UCUCUGUGGAUGGAUGUGGGCAG
RNAcentral lists this microRNA (23 nucleotides) under Bos taurus (domestic cattle). RNAcentral's name for it is "bta-miR-2364". The record is from miRBase by way of RNAcentral. Lineage: Eukaryota; Metazoa; Chordata; Mammalia; Artiodactyla; Bovidae.